Molecule: long non-coding RNA, 462 nt
Organism: Salvia miltiorrhiza (redroot sage)
Lineage: Eukaryota; Viridiplantae; Streptophyta; Magnoliopsida; Lamiales; Lamiaceae
Exons: 2
Source: RefSeq, a predicted model, not a curated record
GGCUAAGUGAAUCAUAGAAUAUUAAGCACUACACCAUGACUUAAGAUUAGAAUUCAAGGAGACCUAUUGAGAAUAGAUUUCUUGUAGGCUUUGUGAUGACCAGGAGGAUUAGCGCUAUUUUUCCAAGACAGGUUUAUAUGUGUAUGAUCUUCAGGCUUUGCCUAUCCAGGUUGGCUGGCCGGUGCUGACGGGACGGAGCUGAGGCUAGAGAUAAAUUCCUAUGUUAGACUUCCGCUGUAGCAAUUACUCUUAUACAUCUUUUGUUUUCUCAACUUAAGAUGACUUCAUUUGAGCUUCAAUUUAAAAUUUAUAGUUUUAUGUUAAUGAACGUCGGUUGUCAGAAGCAUGAAACAAAACUUGUGAUCCAAAGGGGCCUAGCCUGACUUUCUAUCCUAUUUCGGGUUUUAACAAGGUAUUUCCCUUGUUUAUUUCUAUGAAUUAUUCACACCUCGAUUAUAUUUA